This 493-nucleotide ribosomal RNA is filed under the name uncultured bacterium. Its description in RNAcentral is "partial 16S ribosomal RNA". It matches the Rfam family "Bacterial small subunit ribosomal RNA", at positions 28 to 507 of the family's 1533-position model. The record is from RNAcentral.
GAUGAACGCUGGCGGCGUGCCUAACACAUGCAAGUUGAGCGACGAACCAGGGCUUGCCCUGGGGCAAAGCAGCGAACGGGUGAGUAACACGUGGGUAACCUACCCCGAUAACCGGGACAACCCGAGGAAACUCGGGCUAAUACCGGAUGUGCUCACUGGACUUCGGUUCAGUGCGUAAAGGAAGCUUCGGCCUCCGUAUCGGGAGGGGCCCGCGGCCCAUUAGUUUGUUGGUGAGGUAACGGCUCACCAAGACCGCGAUGGGUAGCUGGUCUGAGAGGACGAUCAGCCACACUGGGACUGAGACACGGCCCAGACUCCUACGGGAGGCAGCAGUGGGGAAUCUUGCGCAAUGCGCGAAAGCGUGACGCAGCAACGCCGCGUGGGGGAAGAAGGCCUUCGGGUUGUAAACCCCUUUCAGGAGGGACGAAGGUUCGGCGGUGAAUAGCCGUCCGGACUGACGGUACCUCCACAAGAAGCCCCGGCUAACUACGUG